CUGAUCGGGACGUAUUCGGGUGGACGUUUCUGUGCAAACGAGCCCGGGUCCGGCGGGUAAAUACACCCCCGCAGAGGACGCGCCCCGCUAUCAG
Molecule: non-coding RNA, 94 nt
Organism: Methanoculleus sp. SDB
Lineage: Archaea; Methanobacteriati; Methanobacteriota; Methanomicrobia; Methanomicrobiales; Methanomicrobiaceae
Source: Rfam